This 53-nucleotide transfer RNA is filed under the name Oscillospiraceae bacterium. RNAcentral's name for it is "tRNA-Leu". It matches the Rfam family "tRNA", at positions 17 to 65 of the family's 71-position model. From Rfam's summary of the family: Transfer RNA (tRNA) molecules are approximately 80 nucleotides in length. Lineage: Bacteria; Bacillati; Bacillota; Clostridia; Eubacteriales; Oscillospiraceae. The record is from RNAcentral.
GGUAGAGCAGCUGAUUUGUAAUCAGCAGGUCGGGGGUUCAAGUCCGUCCACCA